Molecule: ribosomal RNA, 467 nt
Filed under: uncultured bacterium
Lineage: Bacteria
Description: bacterial SSU rRNA
Rfam family: Bacterial small subunit ribosomal RNA
Source: RNAcentral
UUGAACGCUGGCGGCAUGCCUAACACAUGCAAGUCGAACGGGCUGUAGCAAUACAGCUAGUGGCGGACGGGUGAGGAAUACAUAGGAAUUUGCCUUUAGGUGGGGGAUAGUCCGGGGAAACUCGGUUUAAUACCGCAUGAUCUCGCAAGAGCAAAGCAGGGGAUCGUAAGACCUUGCGCCUUUAGAGAAGCCUAUGUCGGAUUAGCUAGUUGGUAGGGUAAUGGCCUACCAAGGCGACGAUCCGUAACUGGUCUGAGAGGACGAUCAGUCACACCGGAACUGAGACACGGUCCGGACUCCUACGGGAGGCAGCAGUGGGGAAUAUUGCGCAAUGGGCGAAAGCCUGACGCAGCAACGCCGCGUGGGGGAUGAAGGUCUUCGGGUUGUAAACCCCUUUCAGCAGGAACGAAAAUGACGGUACCUGCAGAAGAAGCCCCGGCCAACUACGUGCCAGCCGCCGCGGUAAU